This 500-nucleotide ribosomal RNA is filed under the name uncultured bacterium. RNAcentral describes it as "partial 16S ribosomal RNA". It matches the Rfam family "Bacterial small subunit ribosomal RNA", at positions 28 to 507 of the family's 1533-position model. The record is from RNAcentral.
GACGAACGCUGGCGGCGUGCCUAAUACAUGCAGGUCGAGCGGACUGAUUAAGAGCUUGCUCUUAUGACGUUAGCGGCGGACGGGUGAGUAACACGUGGGCAACCUGCCCUGUAGAUCGGGAUAACACCGAGAAAUCGGUGCUAAUACCGGGUAAUAUCUGAGAUCACAUGAUCUUAGGUUAAAAGAUGGCUCCGGCUAUCACUACAGGAUGGGCCCGCGGCGCAUUAGCUAGUUGGUAAGGUAAUGGCUUACCAAGGCGACGAUGCGUAGCCGACCUGAGAGGGUGAUCGGCCACACUGGGACUGAGACACGGCCCAGACUCCUACGGGAGGCAGCAGUAGGGAAUCUUCCGCAAUGGACGAAAGUCUGACGGAGCAACGCCGCGUGAGUGAUGAAGGGUUUCGGCUCGUAAAGCUCUGUUGUUAGGGAAGAAACAGUACCGAACGAACUAGGUCGGUACCUUGACGGUACCUAACCAGAAAGCCACGGCUAACUACGUG